GAUGAACGCUGGCGGCGUGCUUAACACAUGCAAGUCGAACGGUGAAGCAGGAGCUUGCUCUUGUGGAUCAGUGGCGAACGGGUGAGUAACACGUGAGCAACCUGCCCCUGACUCUGGGAUAAGCGCUGGAAACGGCGUAUAAUACUGGAUAUGUGGCGUGACCGCAUGGUCUGCCUCUGGAAAGAAUUUCGGUUGGGGAUGGGCUCGCGGCCUAUCAGCUUGUUGGUGAGGUAAUGGCUCACCAAGGCGUCGACGGGUAGCCGGCCUGAGAGGGUGACCGGCCACACUGGGACUGGGACACGGCCCAGACUCCUACGGGAGGCAGCAGUGGGGAAUAUUGCACAAUGGGCGGAAGCCUGAUGCAGCAACGCCGCGUGAGGGAUGACGGCCUUCGGGUUGUAAACCUCUUUUAGCAGGGAAGAAGCGAAAGUGACGGUACCUGCAGAAAAAGCACCGGCUAACUACGUGCCAGCCGCCGCCGUAA
This 484-nucleotide ribosomal RNA is filed under the name uncultured bacterium. RNAcentral describes it as "partial 16S ribosomal RNA". It matches the Rfam family "Bacterial small subunit ribosomal RNA", at positions 28 to 523 of the family's 1533-position model. The record is from RNAcentral.